RNAcentral lists this ribosomal RNA (433 nucleotides) under uncultured bacterium. RNAcentral's name for it is "partial 16S ribosomal RNA". It matches the Rfam family "Bacterial small subunit ribosomal RNA", at positions 29 to 507 of the family's 1533-position model. The record is from RNAcentral.
AACGAACGCUGGCGGCAUGCCUAACACAUGCAAGUCGAACGAGAACUUCGGGUCUAGUGGCGCACGGGUGCGUAACGCGUGGGAACCUGCACUUAGGUUCGGAAUAACUCCCUGAAAGGGGUGCUAAUACCGGAUAAUGUCUUCGGACCAAAGAUUUAUUGCCUUUGGAUGGGGCCGCGUUGGAUUCGCUAGUUGGUAGGGUACAAGCCUGCCAAGGCGACGAUGCAUAGCUGGUCGGAGAGGAGGACCAGCCACACUGGGACUGAGACACGGCCCAGACUCGUACGGGAGGCAGCAGUGGGGAGUAUUGGACGAGGAGCGAAAGCCUGAUCCAGCAAUGCCGCGUGAGUGAUGAAGGCCUUAGGGUUGUAAAUCUCUUUUACCCGGGAUGAUAAUGACAGUACCGGGAGAAGAAGCUCCGGCUAACUCCGUG